Molecule: long non-coding RNA, 2935 nt
Organism: Mauremys reevesii (Reeves's turtle)
Lineage: Eukaryota; Metazoa; Chordata; Testudines; Geoemydidae
Exons: 6
Source: RefSeq, a predicted model, not a curated record
UGGAAUUGUGCAGGAGUCUCAGCUGGAGAAGAAGCUGUCAGAAGUGGACCUGAACUGCCUGGACAUCCUUCUAAGGAGACAUGAACAGUCCUCAGCUUUCUGCAUUCUGGAUAACUGGCUAUGAGUAAGAACAGUCACACAUCAGAGUCUACUGUCCUCAUGCGAUGGAAAUUUGCAGAGGAAUCGUCCAGGAGCCCCAGCCGGAUGAGAAUGUCAGAAGUGGACCUGAGCAGCCUGGACAUCCUUCUAAGGAAACAAGAAUAGUCCUCAGGUUUCUGCCUUCUGCAUAACUGGCUUACCAAGGAAAAAGACAUCACAUGUCAAAGUCUACUGCCCUUAUGAGUGAGAGUGACGAGACUGCGAGCGUUGUUGGUGCCAGGCAGGAGCCGUCCAUCUGGGAGCAGAACAGCUGCUACUAUCACUGAGAUAAGUAUCUGUUUUGCUGAGGGUUCUGCUCACGGCCCACCUGGCUACAGGUAGAGACACCCCGUUAGGUGGAGUGGGUUUGUAAGAAAAGGUUCCUGACUAGCUGUGGUUUUGAGGGAGACACGGUCCCCAUUUUCAGGGGCUGAUUUCUCUGGCCAGGAUCGGUGUGUCCUCGGCAGGAGAAGGUUAGAUCCAUGAGGGAUGACUCCAGGUGGUGAGUUGCUUGCCUUCCUCCUCUGUUUCUCUCUCUGUCUUCUCUACUCUACUCUACUCUACUGUGUUGGCCAACACACACUCUCUCUCUCUCUCUCUCUCUCUCUCUCUCUCUCUCGGCUGUCUCCCUUCAUAGGGUACAGGCAGGAGUGCUAUGUGUGCAUCCCCUCAGGCUAGGUCUCGGGAGCUAUGAAUAAGUAGGAGGGGACGAAAAUCAUGCAUCGUAGUGGGCGCUAGAGUGGAGGGGUGACUGUAGAUGUUGACUCUCUCUUCAAGUGGGCCUGAUGUAGAUAGGCAGGGAUGAGGGCAAGAUUACCUGCACCAAUUGAAUUUUGUGUAGUGAUGGCUCUUGCUUCGCUCAUUUCCUGCGCUUGCAGAGGAAUUGUCCAGGAGCAGCAGCUGAAGGAGAAAGUGGCAGACGCGGACCUGAGGAGCCUGGACAUCCUUCUAAGCAGACAUGAAAGGUCCUCAGAUUUCUGCCUCCCGCACAACUGGCUGUGAGUAAGCGGUCAGUGCUUGGAAUCCCUCAUCUAUACUGGCUCCGGUUUUGUUCAGAGGCUCUGAAUUUCUUCAUUGGACAUGGUGCUCUGUGGGAUUCAGACGAAGCAAAGGCACAAGUCUUCUGUGCAAAUGCUGGGUUUAGUACCAAGUGCAGAGUCAGAGUCCACUCCGCACAUGCCAUGGAAAGGGAGCGAGAGCUGGGAGAUUCUAAGCAUUGUUGAUGCCAGGGAAGAGCCAUCCAGCUGGGAGUGGAGCAAGGACCACUGUCAGUGAGAUAAGUGUCUUGUUAGGUGAAGGCUCUGCUGUGGUUACAAGGGAGACAAGGUCCCUAUUUUCAGGGGCUGCUCAGUCCUCUGGCCAGUACAGGUGUGUCCUCUGCAGCGGAAGGUUGGAUCCAGGAGGAUGACUCCAGGUGACAAGUUGCUUGCCUGCCUUCCUCCCGUGUUUCUCAUUUUCUCGCUCUGUCUCUUUAGUGUGUUGGCCAACACUCUCUCUUAAUCUGUCCUGUCCUUUCCUUGUGCCAUCUCCCUUCUUAGGACACAGGCAGGCCUCUGAGGUGUGCAUCUCCACAGGUUAGGUCUUGAAAGCCCUGGAGUAGUAGGAGGGGACUAAAACCAUGCGGGGUAGUGGGUGCGAGAGUGGAGCAGUGACUGUCAGUGUUGAAUAGGUCUCUGUUCAAGUGGGGCUGAUGUAGAUGGGUGGAAGAGGGAGGCAGGAUUGAGGGCAACAUUUCAAGCACCAUUAGAACUGUGUGUAGAGAUGGCGCAUGCUUGGCUUUUGCAGCUGCAUUUCCAGAGGAAUUGUCCAGGAGCUUGAGCCGGAGGAGAAACUGGCAGAGGUGGAUCUGAGCAGCUUGGACAUGGUUCUAACCAGACAGGAACAGUCCUCAGCUUUCUGCCUUCUGAACACCUGGCUGUGAGUAAGCGGUCAGUGCUUUCAAUUCCUUAUCUGUACUCGCUGUAGUUUACUUCACAGGCCUUGUGCUUCCUCCUUGGGUACCGGGCACAGUGGUAUUAAGGCUGGGGAAGGGACAGGAGUCUCCUGAGCAAAGUGACUAUUUUGGGUGCAGUUACAAUGGAUCCCUUCUAGUUGCAGAUGUAUAGUAGUAAUAGAAGAUGGUUUGAUGGCGGAGCCGUGGGAUAUGGGAGAUGAAGAGACUACGUGACAUUGCAGAUGGAGAUGCUAAUUUGUUUGUUUUUCUCUCCUCUGCUGGGUUUAGUACCAAGGAAAAAUAAGUCACAUGUCAGAGUCUACUGCCCUCAUGCAAUGGAAAGUGAGUGAGAGCAGCGAGCCUGUGAGCAUUGUUCAUGCCAGGCAAGAGCCGUUCAUUUGGGAGCCAAGCAGAUGCCACUGUCAGUGAGAUAAGUGUCUGUUUUGCUGAGGGUUCUGUUAUCAGCCAAUCUGACUCCAGGAGAAGGUUGGAUCCAGGAGGAUGACUCCAGAUGGUGAGUUACAUGCCUUUCUCCUGUGUUUCUCUCUCUCUCUUCUCUAGUGUGUUGGCCAACACUCUCUCUCUCUCUCUCUCUCUGUCUCUGUCUCUGUCCUUGCCUCUCCUUGUGCCGUCUCCCUUCAUAGAACAGGGGCAUGAGUGCUAGGUGUGCAUCCCCACAGGCUUGGUCUCGGGAGCUAUGAACAAGUAGGAGGGGAUGAAAAUCAUGCAGGAUAGUGGGCGCCAGAGUGAGGCAGUGUCUGUGGAUGUUGACUCAGUCUCUGUUCAUUGAGUCCGGCGGCUGUAGAUGGAAUGGGAGAGGGAGGCAGGGAUGAGGACAUUCAUAGAGCUCUGUGUAAUGAUGGU